GAAUUGUAACCCAAAUUCAAUGCGAUCUAAAUAUCGGAGAUACAGAAAGUGGCCUGCUUCAAACAGCUUUCGUCGCCAUUUACAUGAUCUGCGCCCCGUAUUUGACUAUUUGGCUACUUGGGUGAUCGAUACUCUCGAAGGCUUAUCAUGGCUGCCGGUAUUUUCGUCUGGAGCCUGACAACAUUACUUGGCUCUUACGUGACAAAUUUCUGGGCUUUCCUGGUCAUGAGGAGCCUUGUAGGUGUGGGAGAAGCUUCCUACUCAACCAUAGCACCUACCAUCAUUUCAGACUUAUUUGUUGGCGAUACUCGCUCAAAAUUUCUAGCCCUCUUCUAUUUCGCAACUCCGGUCGGGAGUGGACUAGGUUACAUCGUUGGCUCAGAAGCAUCUAGAGUGAUGGGAUCGUGGCAUUGGGGCCUUCGAGUCACGCCAGUUUUCGGGGCCGUAGCCGUGCUUCUGAUUUUGCUGGUCAUCCAGGAUCCUCCACGCGGCGAAUCUGAAGGCGCCCAUCUUUCAGCCACGAGCUGGUGGGACGACAUUAAAUCACUCGGCAAAAACAAAAGCUUUGUGAUGUCCACAGCAGCUUACACAGCGGUGGCCUUCGUCGCUAGAGCUCUGGCAUGGUGGGGUCCCAAGUUUAUCGCAUUGGGUUUGGCCACUCAACAAGGUCACCAGGAUGUUUCAUUGGAUGACGUAUCGUACAUUUUCGGCUUGAUUGCCAUGAUCGCUGGUUUGCUGGGCGUGCCCCUUGGAUCUUUCCUCGGCCAAAAAUUGCGCGUCCGCUAUCAGCGGGCCGAUCCCAUCGUUUUCGGUAUGGGUAUGCUGUUUUCCACUCCCCUCGUGCUAGCUGCGUUGUUUAUCGCCGGAUGGAACACCACCACUUGCUUUGUGGUCGUCUUCUUUGGUCAAGUCCUGCUCAAUUUGAAUUGGGCAAUUGUGGCUGAUAUCCUGUUGUAGGCUAUACGGUAAUCCCAACGCGACGAUCAACCGCUGAAGCGUUUCAAAUUCUAUUUUCACACGGACUGGGUGACGCCGGCUCUCCUUAUUUGAUUGGCCAGAUCUCCGAAAUUCUGAAGAAAUCCUUUUCGACUCCGGCUGCAUUCGUCGAAGGCGCCAUGGUUCUAAACUCGACUGUUUCGUCAAUUGUGAGCGACUUUGUUACGAGUUUACCUGAUUAGAAUGUCAGCGCAAACUGUUCCAGUUCAGGAACGUCAUCUAUAGAUCUCACCACUGUUGAAGGCGACUUCAAAGCCCUACAGUGGGCCAUGUCUAUCACGAUAGUCGUGGAAGUUCUCGGUGCUCUCUUCUUUUUCGGAACAGCAUGGUAUGAAUUCUUUUCAUUAAGAGAAAUC
This 1352-nucleotide unclassified non-coding RNA is filed under the name Daphnia pulicaria. RNAcentral describes it as "protein spinster-like, transcript variant X3". The record is from RNAcentral. Lineage: Eukaryota; Metazoa; Arthropoda; Branchiopoda; Diplostraca; Daphniidae.